CAUGCAAGUCGAACGGCAGCAUAGAGAGCUUGCUCUCUGAUGGCGAGUGGCGAACGGGUGAGUAAUACAUCGGAACGUGUCCGUUUGUGGGGGACAACCACCCGAAAGGGUGGCUAAUACCGCAUAAGACCUGAGGGUGAAAGCCGGGGACCGCAAGGCCUGGCGCGAACGGAGCGGCCGAUGACUGAUUAGCUGGUUGGCGGGGUAAAGGCCCACCAAGGCGACGAUCAGUAGCUGGUCUGAGAGGACGACCAGCCACACUGGAACUGAGACACGGUCCAGACUCCUACGGGAGGCAGCAGUGGGGAAUUUUGGACAAUGGGGGCAACCCUGAUCCAGCCAUGCCGCGUGCGGGAAGAAGGCCUUCGGGUUGUAAACCGCUUUUGUCAGGGACGAAAAGGUGCGGGUUAAGAGCUAGCACUGAUGACGGUACCUGAAGAAUAAGCACCGGCUAACUACGUGCCAGCAGCCGCGGUAAUACGUAGGGUGCGAGCGUUAAUCGGAAUUACUGGGCGUAAAGCGUGCGCAGGCGGUUGGGUAAGACAGAUGUGAAAUCCCCGGGCUUAACCUGGGAACUGCAUUUGUGACUGUCCGACUGGAGUAUGUCAGAGGGGGGUGGAAUUCCAAGUGUAGCAGUGAAAUGCGUAGAUAUUUGGAAGAACACCGAUGGCGAAGGCAGCCCCCUGGGGCAAAACUGACGCUCAUGCACGAAAGCGUGGGGAGCAAACAGGAUUAGAUACCCUGGUAGUCCACGCCCUAAACGAUGUCUACUGGUUGUUGGAGGGUAAAACCUUCAGUAACGAAGCUAACGCGUGAAGUAGACCGCCUGGGGAGUACGGUCGCAAGAUUAAAACUCAA
This 858-nucleotide ribosomal RNA is filed under the name uncultured bacterium. RNAcentral's name for it is "bacterial SSU rRNA". It matches the Rfam family "Bacterial small subunit ribosomal RNA", at positions 54 to 904 of the family's 1533-position model. The record is from RNAcentral.